UUAAAUUAAAUUAAAGUAAAGUAAAACAAAUUAAUAAAUAAUAAAAGAUAAAUAAAUAACCCCAGGUAAGAACCGGGAACAGAAAAAUAAUGCAGAGAGAGAGGGAGAAAGCCACAUACGCAGCCAAUGACAAGCUCCAAGCAAAACGCACUUCUCGUUGCCCUGCUUGAUUUUCCUUCUUCUGCUUUAUAUAAAACUCCCUUGAUAUUAUCACCAUCGUCGCACAAAACCUCGAAGAGUUGUUCUAGGAGAGAGAGCGGAUCCGAUUUUCAGAUACCAGGGUGUUAAUUCAGCCCAGGAUCUUCAUCUCACGACAUACAGAACAUCCAUCCAUCCAUACAUGCAUGAUUGCCUAAAGCUGGCCCGAAAACGAAGAAAGAGCUACUGGAAAAAAAUUUUUAAAAAAAAAGGGAAAAAUCAAAAUGGUGGACAGUUUGUAUGUGUAUCACUUCAACCGACAAAUAAAAGACGUGAAGGGGAGGGGAUAUGCUAUGAUAUGGUAUGAUAUGAUGGCGAUGCAACCGGAAUCUAUGCCCGCAUGUGAAGGAGCAAUUAAUUACCAUUCCCUCGUGAGAGCUUGACAGGAUUUUCCUAUUUUUGAUGGAUGGGAUGCAUGGCUAAUCGAUAAUCUUCUCACAACCUUACCUAUUUGACUAAUACCUAUGUAUUCUAUCUACAUUAGUUACCGAUAGCUACAUACAAUAAUAAUAACUAUUUCAACACACAUGGCCUUUGGUCUCUCAAUUGCACGUCACGUCAAUCAAUUUGGCAGGAGAAGAAUCCCUCCCAUCGAUAACUAUUCGCCGCAACAAGCCUC
RNAcentral lists this small RNA (817 nucleotides) under Histoplasma capsulatum. RNAcentral describes it as "hypothetical RNA". The record is from RNAcentral. Lineage: Eukaryota; Fungi; Ascomycota; Eurotiomycetes; Onygenales; Ajellomycetaceae. RNAcentral also lists the same sequence under 1 other name.